This is a long non-coding RNA of Helianthus annuus (common sunflower), 484 nucleotides long. RefSeq lists it as uncharacterized. Lineage: Eukaryota; Viridiplantae; Streptophyta; Magnoliopsida; Asterales; Asteraceae. The record is from RefSeq and is a predicted model, not a curated record. The transcript is spliced from 3 exons.
UGAGGAUGUCUGGUCGUACAGGAGAACACAGGGGCGACUCCCCACUCUCAAAAACCUAGAAAUCAUUAAAACUCUCAAAUUGAAGGUUCAAUCAAAGCUGAAAUCGAAAUCCAAACAUAGAUUACUGAUCCUCAUCACAAGGGGAUUACAAGGAAAGGAAGCCGGAGCUACGAGCAGACAAGCCGGUGUAAACGCACGACUAAAAGGUGUGCUUUGAAGGUGAGGAUGUGGAUCUUACGGAUGGCGGUCAAGCAAGUUUUGAAGAACCGAACACAGUUUAGAAGCUUCCGCGAUAUCUAACUUUAAUAAGCAAUGAUCUUAGCAUAUAACAUUUUGAAAAACAAUUUGUGAAUGUUUGAAUUAGUCGUUAGUAGACUAAUGUUUUGCUAUUUAUGAACUUAUGUUAUAAGUUGGACAUCUUUUAUAUAAAACUUGUACGAAUUUUAUUAAAUUCAAGUAGUAAUUAGAAGGGUGUUACAUUUUA